CUUGCACAUAGAGUUCAGCGGUCUUGCAGGACAAUUUUAAAAGGCCCAGAAGACCGCUGUCGUCCAAGAAAAUGAGAGGAGAGGCUGUGAACGUAAACGUUGCAAGAGGAAUAAAUCCCUAGUCAACAGUUCAUUAGAAAUCCCUCUCUGGACCACCUCACCACCCCACCUCGCUCCUCAAGUCCUCCCAAAACGCAUCAUCCACAAGUACAUUGCAUUAGGGAGACUGGGAGAGGGAUAACGUUGGCAGAGGGAUUAAAAAAGCUGACAGGAAGAUAUUGAAAAAGGAAACCAAAAAAACUUCUUCCUGCUCCAGACAGAACUUGUUCCAUCACAGUUGUAUAAUCCUAAACUCUAUGACUCGAACCAAGCUAUUUAACAUGUUAAUUAUGGUGGUUUCAGAUGGCCCACUCUACCACUGGAGGCCUCUCAAAAAUAUGCAGUUUCCAGGAAAUAACCUCUUUUUCAUGCAAUCUGUAUGGUACAUUCAAAAAGAGAGAGUUUAUGUCCUUUACUUUUUCUACGACUUGCACUCGUAAGAGAAAAUAAUGUUGUUGCUCAAACUCUUGGGUUCCUGUGGGAGUUGUAACAGUCUGACAGGACAUUGCCUGCUGAAAUAAGGGAUAGGAAAUACAGCUGGUACAUUUGUGCCGAACCUUUAAAAUGCUUCUUUCAGAUGUAUAUUUUUCACACCAAUUCAGUUAAAUCAUAAUUAUCAGCAUAUUUACUGGUACCGCACACAACAUCCCUGUUAACCAACUAUCAAAAUGCUUGAUGGUAAAUGCAAGGCCAGUUAUUUCCAAACAAACUGAAAAAUUACUCAAUAUGUGAUAUCCCAGCCCCCCCCCCCCCCCCAUUCUUGGACACUGUUAUGAAUAAUAAUCAUAAUGAAAAGAACACAUAAAUAAAAGCUAAUGAAUCCACAUUAUUAUUAUUACCACCCAGUUUGGCUAGAACAUACGGCAUUUUUGUUUUUACUUGGAACAACACAUAAAAGCAGGUUUUAAAUUAUUUCAGUGCCUAUAAAAUAUAAUGAAAUAAUAUAUUGGAACUGUCAAGUUAAAUUUGUAUUUUAAUGUUUGUCAUGUUGCUGCCAUCCUCAUAA
Molecule: long non-coding RNA, 1105 nt
Organism: Conger conger (European conger)
Lineage: Eukaryota; Metazoa; Chordata; Actinopteri; Anguilliformes; Congridae
Exons: 3
Source: RefSeq, a predicted model, not a curated record